Molecule: ribosomal RNA, 290 nt
Filed under: uncultured bacterium
Lineage: Bacteria
Description: partial 16S ribosomal RNA
Rfam family: Bacterial small subunit ribosomal RNA
Source: RNAcentral
GGAUUAGAUACCCUGGUAGUCCACGCCGUAAACGAUGUAUACUCGAUGUUCGCGAUAUAGUGUGAGCGUCCAAGAGAAAUUAUUAAGUAUACCACCUGGGGAGUACGGUCGCAAGAUUGAAACUCAAAGGAAUUGACGGGGGCCCGCACAAGCGGUGGAGCAUGUGGUUUAAUUCGAUGAUACGCGAGGAACCUUACCUACUCUUGACAUCCUCAGAAACUUGUAGAGAUACGAGUGUGCCUUCGGGAACUGAGAGACAGGUGCUGCAUGGCUGUCGUCAGCUCGUGUUG